This is a long non-coding RNA of Cyprinus carpio carpio, 617 nucleotides long. The record is from Ensembl. NCBI's taxonomy places the organism in Eukaryota, Metazoa, Chordata, Actinopteri, Cypriniformes, Cyprinidae.
AGGAAAUUCCCGCUAGGGUUGUGUCUUGCUGUAAAGACCAGUGUGAAUUUUCAGUUUGAUGCAGACCAUUUUCUGCUGGUUCGGUGCUAGUCUAUCUGGUGGACCAGCAUGUCCAGUUGGAAGCUGGGAACAGUUAUGAACGCGCUGAGAACCAUUUGCCCAGGCUGUGGAUUAAAGGUAAUAAUAAUGUUCAUUUUCUUACACAGACCAAACGUUUCACUUCAUAAGACCUCAAAGAAUCAUCAGGAGCCAUGGGUUUUGAUUGGUCUUAUCUGUAUAUGAUUUUAUUUUUUAUUUCUUUUCUCAAAAACCGACAGACUAUGAAUUACAGUAUAUGAAUUACCAAGGACAACAGUUGCACCUAAAAAUGACAAGAAGUCACCUGCAUCAUGGAUGGCUUGGUCUUAUUGUGCACAAUCUUUCAGCCUACCCACACAGAAGAAUCAACCAAAGCAUCCAAUCAACCACCACCAACAAACACCAGCAAAACAACACAGAUCUCUUUAUUAACCAUCUAGCAACCAGCUACAACAUCUUAGCAACACACUAGCAAACACAUUUCAACAUCUUGUCAUUUUCCCAGAACACCCUAGCACAUAUCGAACAAUGCCGUAGCA